UACGUAGGGGGCUAGCGUUGUCCGGAAUCAUUGGGCGUAAAGAGCGUGUAGGCGGCCCGGUAAGUCCGCUGUGAAAGUCGGGGGCUCAACCCUCGAAUGCCGGUGGAUACUGUCGGGCUAGAGUUCGGAAGAGGCGAGUGGAAUUCCUGGUGUAGCGGUGAAAUUCGCAGAUAUCAGGAGGAACACCAAUUGCGAAGGCAGCUCGCUGGGACGUAACUGACGCUGAGACGCGAAAGCGUGGGGAGCAAACAGG
This 253-nucleotide ribosomal RNA is filed under the name uncultured bacterium. Its description in RNAcentral is "partial 16S ribosomal RNA". It matches the Rfam family "Bacterial small subunit ribosomal RNA", at positions 524 to 776 of the family's 1533-position model. The record is from RNAcentral.